GACGAACCGUGCGAACGUUGUUCGGAAUCACUGGGCUUAAAGGGCGCGUAGGCGGCUCGCGAGGUCGGGGGUGAAAUCCCGCAGCUUAACUGCGGAAGGGCCUCCGAUACCGGCGGGCUGGAGGAAGGUAGGGGUGCGCGGAACUUCUGGUGGAGCGGUGAAAUGCGUUGAUAUCAGAAGGAACGCCGGCGGCGAAAGCGGCGCACUGGACCUUUUCUGACGCUGAGGCGCGAAAGCUAGGGGAGCAAACGGG
This 253-nucleotide ribosomal RNA is filed under the name uncultured bacterium. Its description in RNAcentral is "partial 16S ribosomal RNA". It matches the Rfam family "Bacterial small subunit ribosomal RNA", at positions 524 to 776 of the family's 1533-position model. The record is from RNAcentral.